RNAcentral lists this ribosomal RNA (253 nucleotides) under uncultured bacterium. RNAcentral describes it as "partial 16S ribosomal RNA". It matches the Rfam family "Bacterial small subunit ribosomal RNA", at positions 524 to 776 of the family's 1533-position model. The record is from RNAcentral.
UACAGAGGGUGCAAGCGUUAAUCGGAAUUACUGGGCGUAAAGCGUGCGUAGACGGUUAUGUAAGUCAGAUGUGAAAGCCCCGGGCUCAACCUGGGAAUUGCAUUUGAGACUGCAUAGCUAGGGUGCGGAAGAGGGAAGCGGAAUUUCCGGUGUAGCGGUGAAAUGCGUAGAUAUCGGAAGGAACACCAGUGGCGAAAGCGGCUUCCUGGUCCAGCACCGACGUUCAUGCACGAAAGCGUGGGGAGCAAACAGG